Molecule: transfer RNA, 84 nt
Filed under: Patescibacteria group bacterium
Lineage: Bacteria
Description: tRNA-Leu
Rfam family: tRNA
About the family: Transfer RNA (tRNA) molecules are approximately 80 nucleotides in length.
Source: RNAcentral
GCCGGGAUGGCGGAACUGGUAGACGCAGCGGACUUAAAAUCCGCCUCUGUAACAAGAGUACCGGUUCGAUUCCGGUUCCCGGCA